RNAcentral lists this ribosomal RNA (902 nucleotides) under Capronia munkii. Its description in RNAcentral is "partial large subunit ribosomal RNA". It matches the Rfam family "Eukaryotic large subunit ribosomal RNA", at positions 1 to 920 of the family's 3401-position model. Lineage: Eukaryota; Fungi; Ascomycota; Eurotiomycetes; Chaetothyriales; Herpotrichiellaceae. The record is from RNAcentral.
GUUGACCUCGGAUCAGGUAGGAAUACCCGCUGAACUUAAGCAUAUCAAUAAGCGGAGGAAAAGAAACCAACAGGGAUUGCCUCAGUAACGGCGAGUGAAGCGGCAACAGCUCAAAUUUGAAAUCUGGCCUCACGGUCCGAGUUGUAAUUUGUAGAGGAUGUUUUGGGUACCGCCGCGGUUUAAAUUUCUUGGAACAGAAUGUCAAAGAGGGUGAGAGUCCCGUCUUGGAUCGCGGUAGGGCCUGUGUAAAACUCCUUCGACGAGUCGACUUGUUUGGGAAUGCAGGUCAAAAUGGGUGGUAAAUUUCAUCUAAAGCUAAAUAUUGGCCAGAGACCGAUAGCGCACAAGUAGAGUGAUCGANAGAUGAAAAGCACUUUGAAAAGAGAGUUAAACAGUAUGUGAAAUUGUUGAAAGGGAAGCGCUGGCAAUCAGACUCGUGCGCGGGGUUCCCCCUUGCUUCUGCUUGGGUCACUUCCCCGUGUCCGGGCCAUCAUCAGUUUCGGGGGCCGGUUAAAGGCCCUGGGAAUGUACCUACUCCUUCGGGGGUAGACUUAUAGCCCAGGGUGUCAUGCGGCCACCCGGGACUGAGGAACGCGCUUCGGCGAGGAUGAUGGCGUAAUGGUUGUCAGCGACCCGUCUUGAAACACGGACCAAGGAGUCUAACAUCUAUGCGAGUGUUCGGGUGUCAAACCCUUGCGCGGAAUGAAAGUGAACGGAGGUAGGAAGGCUUACGCCUGCACUAUCGACCGAUCCUGAUGUCUUCGGAUGGAUUUGAGUAAGAGCAUAGCUGUUGGGACCCGAAAGAUGGUGAACUAUGCGUGAAUAGGGUGAAGCCAGAGGAAACUCUGGUGGAGGCUCGCAGCGGUUCUGACGUGCAAAUCGAUCGUCAAAUUUGCGUAUAG